AUUUCUUUCUCUCUCUCUUUUUUUUUAUUAGUAUUUUUAUUUUCUCAAACUGAUGCACAUGGUUUUGUUUUUGUUGCUUUCAUUCUCGUAUUCCAUUCUGCACUGAACUGAAGUCAACGACCUGAAAUGAGUUAACUACGACAAACACGUAUAAAGGGGAUGUCUGGUGGAGUCUGAUGUCGUAAAUUACAGAGGAAGCUUCUGCAAUUUCCUGCUGAUCAACCGAGUGUUGAUGAAGGUGAUCAACUCCGGUUCAGAAAAUUCAGUCAUCCAGAAAAGACUUUGGAAACAAAGGUUGCGGAAAAAGAUCAGUUUUGUGCCUGGAAUUUUGAUGGGUCCUUAGUGACCCCAGAAUGAUGAAAGGGGGCACACGACCAGAUAUUUUGGAGGAAGGCUCGGUCGGUUAAACUGACCCACAUACUUGGCUAGUACUUUAUCAAACCCAGCAACAGGAUUUGAACUCGGAACAUAAAGAGCCUUAAGUGAGUACCACAAAUACGUUCUGUCUGAUGCUCUACUGAUUUCUACCAAUCUGCUCCUCCUUCCUCCAGUAUUUUACCAAUUUAAGUGGAAUGUUUGUGGCAUGGUUUGAAAGGAGCUGACCCCUUGUUUGCCUUUAGCAAGGCACACUCUAUUGCAGGCCUUCAGGCCAAAAAGGGGUCAUGGACACUGCCCUUCGUCCUCUAUGCCCUUGAAGGAAAAAAAAAAAAAAAAGAUUAGGAAUAAAGCUCGAUGCAUUCUAUGGAUUUACUGAGAGCUUACACGAAGAUAGAGAUUAUUAAAAAUAAUGAAAUUGUAAUGUUUUUGGAGGGUGAAAUCCCUUUAGGAAUAAUAGCAGAUUGAUACGACUCUACCUGGGAAAUGAAAUAAAGGUAGACAGCCACAAUUGACCAAUACCAUAUUGCCAAUCACCUUCCUAAUAGCAAUUUUUGUACAAAGACUUAAGGCCAUAAAUUUGGGGGCAAGGUACAAUUACAUUGACCCUUAUACUUGAUUGCUACUUCAUUUUAUCAACCCUGGAAAGGUAAAAGGCAAAGUGAACUUUGAUGGGAUUUGAACUCAGAUUAUAAAGGGUCCAAACCAAAUGCCAGAAGGCAUUUGGUUCUAACAAUUUGGUCAACCCACUGCCAUUAGUUUCUAAUUCAGGGAGUUAGGGUUAGAAAUGGGGAGGGGGUAGUUGAAUCGAUGUUUGUACUUGAAUGGUACUCUAAUUAAUUGACCCCUAAGGGUAGAAAUCAAAGUUGACAUUGGUAGAGUUGGAAUGCAGAACCUGAAGAAUGGAACAAAUACUGCAAGGCAUUUUGUUCAAUGGUCAAAUGGUUCAAGGCCAAAAAUCUGGGGGAGGGGGAUUAAUCUCAGUACUUGUCUGGGACUUUAUUUUAUUGACCCUUGAAAGGAUGAAGGUCAAGGUUGACCUCAGAAUUUAAAGAAAUGCUAUUUAAGCAUUUUGCCUGGGGUGGCGGGAGGGCACUAUUGAUUCAGCCAGAUUGGCGCUUUGAUAAAGGUUUCAAAUUUUGGCACAAGGCCAGCAAUUUUGGUGUGGGUGGGGGUGGAUGUUAGUUGAUUACAUCGACCCUGGUACUUGACUGGUGCUUUAUUUUAUCAGCCCCAAGAGGAUGACUGGUCAAGUUGACUUUGGCUGUGCUUGAACUCAGAAUGUGAAGGGUUCCAGCCAACAAUUCUGCCAACUUGCCACAUUGAUAAUAAUGUAUUUAAUUUUUUGCUUUGUUCAGGAGCCCCUAAAAAUGUUAAUGUCAUGGAUAGAUUGGAACGAUAAGUUGCUAUUAAUGAUGGCACUGAAUGUUUGGUGGCAAGGUCAAAGGUCACAGAAAUUUAGGCAACCUGGUGUCAAUAUCACAAAUACUUUUUAGUGGGUGGGGAGAAUCGCUGUCAGAGAAUCAGAAACUCUGGCAAUCACAGCUGUGAGUCCCUGCUGGAGGACUCUCACCACACACACACACACACACACAUAAGAGGUGGUCAGUAUUGGACUAAUACACACACACACACACAUACACUUGGAGAGUGAAGAAUGAAAACUGAAGAAAAUACACAUUAAAAACAUCAACAGAAGAAAAAAUAGAAAAAAAAAAUUUUAAAAGUGAUCCCUUCUCCAAGAGUUAGGCUGACCCCUAUCUCUUUGAUAAUUGUACACCUCCACAGUUGUACUCCAUUCACCACAUAGUACAGUUUAAAUAAGAAAAAGGCAAAAAAAAAAAGCCAAAAAAAGCAAAAAAAAAAAAGCGUAAAUGUGAUAGAGUCAUGGGAGUCCUCAGAAGGCACAGGCACUUGUAUUGACUUUGAAUCAAUGAGUUAUUUUUAUAUGAUUAGGUUAUCAAGGCUUAUGUUGUACAUCUAUGACUUAGUUCAGUGGAGCAGAGUGUUGAUGACCAGGUCCAGUGGAAUGGAGAAUUGGUGAUGAGGUCCAGCAGAAUAGAUUCUCAGUGUGGCUGUCACGGAUGGACAGCUUGGUCUUUCGGAACAGAGUAUUAAAGAACUAAAUGGCAGAUGUAUAAUUCGGUCCAGCAGAUUAAGGUAUCAGCAAUUAAGCCAUAGACAUAUAACUGGGCCUUGGUGAUCAAGUGGCAGAUGUUCUUGCUGACCAGAAUAUCAAUGAUCAGGUUAUAGGAUACAUGGUCAAAUGGUUAAGAAUGUCAGUGACCAAGUUACACAACUUGUUCCAGCACAAGAUAAAUACCAGUAAGCAGGUAGAUGGACACCAAAGAUUGAUACUACUUCAAAAUAAUAAUGAACAAUGGUACCUGUGUGUUUUGAAUGACUAACAUGACUCUAACCCAAUGUAACUGGUUCAGUUUCAACUAUUUUCAGAUGAAAUGACCUGUCAAACAAAUAAACCCCUGGAAUAUAUUGUAUAAAAUAAAUAUGAAGUUAUGAAGUUAAAUAAUGGAAUAUAAAAGAAAACAACAACAACAGCAAGAUAUUGUGAAUACAUAGAAAGCUUUUUGAAAGAAAAAUAACUUUUUACAACAGUUUUUUUUUGGUUCUCUUCUUGACAGUUGCAGUUAAGUAGAGUGGAGUGACUUAACCAAGGAUACAAAACAAUUGUUGCAGUAGUACGUGACCACACACACACACACUAAUAACCUUUUAUACAGAGUCCCACAAAGAUUACGAUGGGAUUCACACUGCUACCGACAAGUGGAGAAGUACAGCAGCAACUGUUGGAUUCAGGCUAAGUCCACCUUGCCCUCCUUUUCAGUGACCACCUCCAGAAUAUACAGGUGUUACAGAAACAGACUGGACAGUAUAUGAGAGUGGAAAGAGUAUCACACUGCAUCCCAUACAAUAAAACCACUGGUUGCUGGAAUCUGCAGAAUUGUCUUCAUCUCUGGCAUUGGCAGCUCCUUAGAAUCUGCAGGCCUGUAUGGAGUUUUUCAACUGACAGCCCUUGUGCCCAGAGCUCAUUCGGAGCUGACUUGGGAGUUCCAUAAACAACUUGUUACAGACACAAAACCUCAGAUUAAAUAGCAGAGACAAGUAUGAGGAUGUGUGAUGUUCAUGCUUCUACCAAAGUGGCAAUGGUGGUGAAAGCAAAAUGAUUAUAAUUUGGAACUGAAAUCAAUUAGAAUGUUUCGCUUAACGAGGGGUUGAUCUCAACUCUCUGCUCUGACCCCCAUCGUAUUUGUCUCCCUUCCAGGAACAAAGUCAGCAAUUUCAAAGGGAUCGGUGGGGUCAGUCGAUGAUCAAAUACUUAACUGGCACUUCAUUUUUAUUGACCCCACCAAAAAGAUGAAAGGCAAAGUUGACCUCUGUGGGAUUUGAACUCACAAUGUAAACAAGCGGAACAAAUACCAUGAGAAACUUUUUCUGAUGUUGCUCUUUAUAGAUUCUUCUGCCAGCUCACUUCCUUAACAAUAACACCUCCUGAUUGAGGCCCAAGGCCAGCAAUUUUGGGGUGGGUGGGGGUUAGUUGAUUACACUGAUCUCUAAAGGACAAAAGGCAAAACUGACCUCACUAGCAUUUGAACUCAGAACAUCAUGGACUGAAAGAAAUGCUGCUAAGCAUUCAUCGGACACAAUGAUGCUGCCUGCUUAAUAAUAAUAAUGAUCCUUUCUACUACAGGCACAAGGCUUGAAAUGUUGGGGGGAAGUGGGGCAGUCGAUUACAUUGACCCCCAGUACAUGACUGGUUCUCAUUUUACCAAUGUUGAAAGGAUGAACGGCAGAGUCAGCCUCGGCAGAAUUUGAACUCACGACGAGUCACAAGAAGUGUUGCUAAGCAUUUUGCCCGAUACGCCAAUGGUUCUGCCUGCUUCUCACAAUAAUAAUCAAUAAUAUUCAAUAAUACUGGUUUCUGAUAAUUAAAAAAAAAAUGAAGAGAACAGCUGGAAGCUGGGAGGUGUUCUCUUGAAAUUUACCUCAGCCAACCAACUGCUAGAACCACAACAACAACAACAACAAAAUCAAAUAAGUGGUGGGCAGUGGUGGAGAUGGUGAAAGAGUCUAGUGUUAAGGGCACUGUCCAUCUUCAGCGUUAUAUUGAAGGAGGGCCUUUCUACCACAUAGAUUACUCAAGCCCCGCCUUUCCCCUCCCAGGUGCUUUCGCAUUGACCACCUGAGGUCCUCUCCCCACUUUCAUUCUCUCAUUAACCUUCAUCUGAACAUGAUGAUGACGGUAACGAUGAUGGUCAUCCAGUCUGGUUUCAGCCUCUCACCUCAACAACAACAGUAAGAAGGAAAAGAAAAAAAAAAAUAGUAACCCAACAAAGACAUAAAUGAGCAAGUUCAUUACAACAGUUGCUGUGGAGUACUCAAUACUUGGUUACUCUUUAGUUACUCUCGGCCAACUGCUUCAAUGAUGCUUUAUUUUCCUCUCCACCCUGGGGCUUGUUCCUCCAGUGGUUCUUCUGUUGCUGCUGCUGCUGAUGUACUAUUUUUUUAAAAAAUUA
Octopus bimaculoides (California two-spot octopus) is the source of this 4910-nucleotide long non-coding RNA. The record is from RefSeq and is a predicted model, not a curated record. Lineage: Eukaryota; Metazoa; Mollusca; Cephalopoda; Octopoda; Octopodidae.